UACGUAGGUCCCGAGCGUUGUCCGGAUUUAUUGGGCGUAAAGCGAGCGCAGGCGGUUUGAUAAGUCAGAAGUAAAAGGCUGUGGCUCAACCAUAGUACGCUUUUGAAACUGUCAAACUUGAGUGCAGAAGGGGGGAGUGGAAUUCCAUGUGUAGCGGUGAAAUGCGUAGAUAUAUGGAGGAACACCAGUGGCGAAAGCGGCUCUUUGGCUCGCAACUGACGCUGAGGCGCGAAAGCGUGGGGAGCAAACAGG
RNAcentral lists this ribosomal RNA (252 nucleotides) under uncultured bacterium. RNAcentral describes it as "partial 16S ribosomal RNA". It matches the Rfam family "Bacterial small subunit ribosomal RNA", at positions 524 to 776 of the family's 1533-position model. The record is from RNAcentral.